RNAcentral lists this ribosomal RNA (754 nucleotides) under uncultured bacterium. RNAcentral describes it as "bacterial SSU rRNA". It matches the Rfam family "Bacterial small subunit ribosomal RNA", at positions 384 to 1137 of the family's 1533-position model. The record is from RNAcentral.
UGAUCCAGCCAUGCCGCGUGCGGGAAGAAGGCCCUAUGGGUCGUAAACCGCUUUUAUACGGGAAGAAACCACCCUACGUGUAGGGUACUGACGGUACCGUAAGAAUAAGGACCGGCUAACUCCGUGCCAGCAGCCGCGGUAAUACGGAGGGUCCGAGCGUUAUCCGGAAUCAUUGGGUUUAAAGGGUCCGUAGGCGGGCCGUUAAGUCAGGGGUGAAAGUCUGCGGCUCAACCGUAGAACUGCCCUUGAUACUGGCGGUCUUGAGUCGUACUGGAGUAGGCGGAAUAUGUAGUGUAGCGGUGAAAUGCAUAGAUAUUACAUAGAACAUCGAUCGCGAAGGCAGCUUACUAAGUACGUACUGACGCUGAUGGACGAAAGCGUGGGGAGCGAACGGGAUUAGAUACCCCGGUAGUCCACGCCGUAAACGAUGGAUACUAGCUGUCCGGUACCUUGAGUACUGGGCGGCCAAGCGAAAGUGAUAAGUAUCCCACCUGGGGAGUACGUUCGCAAGAAUGAAACUCAAAGGAAUUGACGGGGGCCCGCACAAGCGGUGGAGCAUGUGGUUUAAUUCGAUGAUACGCGAGGAACCUUACCAGGGCUUAAAUGCAUAUUGACAGGUCUAGAGAUAGAUUUUCCCUUCGGGCAAUUUGCAAGGUGCUGCAUGGUUGUCGUCAGCUCGUGCCGUGAGGUGUCAGGUUAAGUCCUAUAACGAGCGCAACCCCUACCGUUAGUUGCCAGCAAGUAAAGUUGGGGA